UAGGGAAUAUUAGUAAUGGGCGCAAGCCUGAACUAGCAACACCGCGUGUGCGAAGAAGGCCUUCGGGUUGUAAAGCACUUUUUGAGAGGCUGAGGAAGGACGGUACUCUCAGAAUAAGUCUCGGCUAACUACGUGCCAGCAGCCGCGGUAACACGUCGGAGGCAAACGUUAUCCGGAUUUACUGGGCGUAAAGCGCGUGUAGGUGGUUUGGUAAGUAGAGCGUGAAAGCUCAUGGCUCAACUGGGAGAGGUCGUUCUAAACGGCCGGACUAGAGGAUGGUAGAGGGAGGUGGAAUUCCGGGGGUAGCGGUGGAAUGCGCAGAUAUCCGGAGGAACACCAGUGGCGAAAGCGGCCUCCUGGACCACUCCUGACACUCAGACGCGAAAGCUAGGGUAGCAAACG
This 402-nucleotide ribosomal RNA is filed under the name uncultured prokaryote. Its description in RNAcentral is "bacterial SSU rRNA". It matches the Rfam family "Bacterial small subunit ribosomal RNA", at positions 355 to 774 of the family's 1533-position model. The record is from RNAcentral.